CUUUGAUCGCUUGUGCCAGUGUUUGGGUGAAUAAAAGUGAGGCGAGCCAAAGGCGCCAACCUCCUCUGCCUACUAGAGGGACGAAAGCCAUGGGGAGUGAAGAGCCAAUGGGGAGAGAAGUACAUGGUAGAUGCUGGUACGAAUUUCCAGGAAGUGUAGGUGAGAAUUCAACACUGAAGCAGGCACAGUACCUGGUCAUCUUUAUUUCCAACACUUUCAUGGUAAAUGUCAAAAGGAAAUGCAGAACUUUGAUGAUGUAUUGAGAGGAGAUACAAACAAUUACAGUAAUUAAAUGACUGAAACUACGGUUGAAGGAGAUGGAGGAAGAAUGAAAUGGAAUAAAUUGGCUUAACACAGAUAUUACAGCAACCUGAUAAGUCCACAAAUAGUAAUAAUAGUUACAAUGUUUAUUAAGGUUAUGAAAAUACUCUGAAAGUGAGAUAACUUUUUUGUAGCAGAACAAACUUCAAACUUCCAAAAUAAUCUGGGAUAAUUUGUUUCUCUUCUUUAAAACGCUUCAUUCGUUUGUUUCUGUAUUCACUAAAGAUUUAUAAAAUAGCUGCUGUGUGCCAAGCAUUCAUACCAAUGGACAUUGAUACAGCAUGGAAUGAAAAGAAGUGAAGACCUCUCCGUCCUAACUGAGCCUGUGUUCAUGGCUAUGAGCUCGCUUGUUGCUGUUCAUUAUGGCAUGUAGAGUCUGUCUGGUUAAGAUAAAAAUAAAGUUGACCUGGG
This 732-nucleotide long non-coding RNA is filed under the name Heterocephalus glaber (naked mole-rat). RNAcentral's name for it is "lncRNA (ENSHGLG00000036917.1)". Lineage: Eukaryota; Metazoa; Chordata; Mammalia; Rodentia; Bathyergidae. The record is from RNAcentral.